GGCGGCCUACGGGAGGCAGCAGUGGGGGAUAUUGCACAAUGGGGGAAACCCUGAUGCAGCGACGCCGCGUGGGUGAAGAAGCGCCUCGGCGCGUAAAGCCCUGCCAGCAGGGAAGAAAAUCACGGUACCUGAAGAAGAAGCCCCGGCUAACUACGUGCCAGCAGCCGCGGUAAUACGUAGGGGGCAAGCGUUAUCCGGAUUUACUGGGUGUAAAGGGGGCGCAGACGGCGAUGCAAGCCAGGAGUGAAAGCCCGGGGCCCAACCCCGGGACUGCUCUUGGAACUGCGUGGCUAGAGUGCAGGAGG
RNAcentral lists this ribosomal RNA (305 nucleotides) under uncultured bacterium. RNAcentral's name for it is "bacterial SSU rRNA". It matches the Rfam family "Bacterial small subunit ribosomal RNA", at positions 333 to 655 of the family's 1533-position model. The record is from RNAcentral.